This 389-nucleotide ribosomal RNA is filed under the name Dinophyceae sp. Its description in RNAcentral is "partial small subunit ribosomal RNA". It matches the Rfam family "Eukaryotic small subunit ribosomal RNA", at positions 582 to 975 of the family's 1831-position model. Lineage: Eukaryota; Dinophyceae. The record is from RNAcentral.
AUUCCAGCUCCAAUAGCGUAUAUUAAAGUUGUUGCGGUUAAAAAGCUCGUAGUUGGAUUUCUGCCGAGGACGACCGGUCCGCCCUCUGGGUGAGCAUCUGGCACGGCCUGGUCAUCCUCUUGGAGAACGUAGCUGCACUUGACUGUGUGGGGCGGUAUCCAGGACUUUUACUUUGAGGAAAUUAGAGUGUUCAAAGCAGGCCUAUGCUCUGAAUAGGUUAGCAUGGAAUAAUAGAAUAGGACUUUGGUUCUAUUUUGUUGGUUUCUAGAGCUGAGGUAAUGAUUGAUAGGGAUAGUUGGGGGCAUUCGUAUUUAACUGUCAGAGGCGAAAUUCUUGGAUUUGUUAAAGACGGACUACUGCGAAAGCAUUUGCCAAGGAUGUUUUCAUCG